Molecule: ribosomal RNA, 332 nt
Filed under: Acanthamoeba lenticulata
Lineage: Eukaryota; Discosea; Longamoebia; Acanthamoebidae
Description: SSU rRNA
Rfam family: Eukaryotic small subunit ribosomal RNA
Source: RNAcentral
UAGGACCCUGACCUCCUAUUUUCAGUUGGUUUUGUUUACAGCGAGGUUAUAUCAGGGUAAUGAUUAAUAGGGAUAGUUGGGGGCAUUAAUAUUUAAUUGUCAGAGGUGAAAUUCUUGGAUUUAUGAAAGAUUAACUUCUGCGAAAGCGUUUGCCAAGGAUGUUUUCAUUAAUCAAGAACGAAAGUUAGGGGAUCGAAGACGAUCAGAUACCGUCGUAGUCUUAACCAUAAACGAUGCCGACCAGCGAUUAGGAGACGUUGAAUACAAAACACCGCUGUUAAUCCUUUCGGGGGUUAAUAGUUGGUGAAUGACUCCCUAGCAGCUUGUGAGAA